AAUAAGCUAUUUAAGAGCGUAAGGUGGAUGCCUUGGCUCUCAGAGGCGAUGAAGGACGUGAUAAGCUGCGAUAAGCUACGGGGAUUGGCACACACAAUUUGAUCCGUAGAUUUCCGAAUGGGGCAACCCACUAUAUUGAAGAUAUAGUAUCCGUUAAGGAAGCAAACCCAGGGAACUGAAACAUCUAAGUACCUGGAGGAGUAGAAAACAAAAGUGAUUCCGCUAGUAGUGGCGAGCGAACGCGGAACAGCCCAAACCAAAAUUGUUUCGGCAAUUUUGGGGUUGUA
This 287-nucleotide ribosomal RNA is filed under the name uncultured Flavobacteriaceae bacterium. RNAcentral describes it as "partial 23S ribosomal RNA". It matches the Rfam family "Bacterial large subunit ribosomal RNA", at positions 1 to 302 of the family's 2925-position model. Lineage: Bacteria; Pseudomonadati; Bacteroidota; Flavobacteriia; Flavobacteriales; Flavobacteriaceae. The record is from RNAcentral.